UCUAGAGUCAAAGUCCAGCUGAUGGAAAGGAGGAGAAAUCAGCUACAAAAAAGAAGAGAGGAAGAGAUGACGGAACAUACAACAUCUCAGAAAUUAUGUCCAAA
Meleagris gallopavo (turkey) is the source of this 104-nucleotide non-coding RNA. NCBI's taxonomy places the organism in Eukaryota, Metazoa, Chordata, Aves, Galliformes, Phasianidae. The record is from RefSeq and is a predicted model, not a curated record.